Suncus etruscus (white-toothed pygmy shrew) is the source of this 138-nucleotide small nucleolar RNA. RefSeq annotates it as small nucleolar RNA SNORA12. The record is from RefSeq and is a predicted model, not a curated record. The transcript has a single exon. NCBI's taxonomy places the organism in Eukaryota, Metazoa, Chordata, Mammalia, Eulipotyphla, Soricidae.
UAAAGGGACUUCUUUUGAACACUUGUUAAGAUUCCAAAUGAACCUGACUCUGCCACUAUACUGUAUAGAAGCUGGCAAAAGCUUGAGAACAGGAACACACUCUUGCUUUUCCCACACCCAAGUUUGGCUUCCAAAGAG